AAAGUCGUAACAAGGUCUCCGUUGGUGAACCAGCGGAGGGAUCAUUACGAGAAGCCGAAAGGCUGCUUAAAACCAUCGCGAACUCGUCCAGGUUGCUUCGGCGGCGCGGGGCCCUUCCACGGGGCGUCGCUGCCCUGCCUCUCCGGAGUUGCGGGCGCCCGCCGGAGGUACGAAACCCUCAUGUAAUUACAGUGGCAUCUCUGAGUAAAAAGCAAACAAGUUAAAACUUUCAACAACGGAUCUCUUGGCUCUG
RNAcentral lists this unclassified non-coding RNA (253 nucleotides) under Ascomycota sp. RNAcentral's name for it is "partial contains small subunit ribosomal RNA, internal transcribed spacer 1, and 5.8S ribosomal RNA". The stretch from base 1 to 47 matches the Rfam family "Eukaryotic small subunit ribosomal RNA", at positions 1785 to 1831 of the family's 1831-position model. Lineage: Eukaryota; Fungi; Ascomycota. The record is from RNAcentral.